AGCGAACGCUGGCGGCAGGCUUAACACAUGCAAGUCGAGCGCCCCGCCAGGGGAGCGGCAGACGGGAGAGUAACACGUGGGAACAUACCUUUUGGUUCGGAACAACUGAGGGAAACUUCAGCUAAUACCGGAUAAGCCCUUACGGGGAAAGAUUUAUCGCCGAAAGAUUGGCCCGCGUCUGAUUAGCUAGUUGGUGAGGUAACGGCUCACCAAGGCGACGAUCAGUAGCUGGGCUGAGAGGAUGAUCAGCCUCACUGGGACUGAGACACGGCCCAGACUCCUACGGGAGGCAGCAGUGGGGAAUAUUGGACAAUGGGGGCAACCCUGAUCCAGCCAUGCCGCGUGAGUGAUGAAGGCCUUAGGGUUGUAAAGCUCUUUUGCCCGGGAAGAUAAUGACGGUACCGGGAGAAUAAGCCCCGGCUAACUUCGUG
This 431-nucleotide ribosomal RNA is filed under the name uncultured bacterium. RNAcentral describes it as "partial 16S ribosomal RNA". It matches the Rfam family "Bacterial small subunit ribosomal RNA", at positions 29 to 507 of the family's 1533-position model. The record is from RNAcentral.